GAUGAACGCUAGCGGCAGGCCUAACACAUGCAAGUCGAGGGAGAGGUUACCUUCGGGUCACCAAAACCGGCGCACGGGUGCGUAACGCGUAUACAAUCUGCCUUUCACAUAGGGAUAGCCCGAAGAAAUUUGGAUUAAUACCUAAUGGUAUAUAAGAGCGGCAUCGUUUUUAUCUUAAAGCUACGGUGGUGAAAGUUGAGUAUGCGUUCUAUUAGCUAGUUGGAGAGGUAACGGCUCCCCAAGGCGACGAUAGAUAGGGGUUCUGAGAGGGAUGUCCCCCACACUGGUACUGAGAUACGGACCAGAGUCCUACGGGAGGCAGCAGUGAGGAAGAUUGGACAAGGGUCGGAAGACUGAUCCAGCCAUGCCGCGUGCAGGAUGAAGGUCCUAUGGAUUGUAACCUGCUUUUGUAAGGGAAGAAUAAGGAGUACGGGUACUUUGAUGACGGUACCUUACGAAUAAGCAUCGGCUAACUCCGUG
RNAcentral lists this ribosomal RNA (480 nucleotides) under uncultured bacterium. RNAcentral describes it as "partial 16S ribosomal RNA". It matches the Rfam family "Bacterial small subunit ribosomal RNA", at positions 28 to 507 of the family's 1533-position model. The record is from RNAcentral.